This 456-nucleotide long non-coding RNA is filed under the name Ananas comosus (pineapple). RNAcentral describes it as "long non-coding RNA (ACOM_LNC009313)". Lineage: Eukaryota; Viridiplantae; Streptophyta; Magnoliopsida; Poales; Bromeliaceae. The record is from RNAcentral.
UAGACAUACUUCGUGAUAUAAACAGCACUACACCCUACAAUAAGGGCAUGUUUGGUUCAUGAUUGAAAUAGGAAUGGAAAAUGGAAUGGAAUUGCUUUGGAAUGAAAAAUGGAAUGACGAAUCAUCCAAAAAUAUUUGGUUCAUUAUUAGAAUGAAAAUCGGAAUGAAAAUUUAAAAUUUUUUAGAGAGGAUUUUGAUUAAGAGAGAGGAAAGUGAUUACGGAUGAGGAGGUAGGUGUUGAUGAAAGAGGAUUUUGAAUAGUUUACUUUGGAAUAAACCAAUCCGAAAUUCAAAACAGGAUUGGAUCAUAAAUAGAUUUGGUCAUUCCCAUUCCGGAGUGGAAUGGAAAUUGGAAUCCGAUUCCUAUAAAACAAACGGCAACAAUAGGAAUCAAUGAAUUCCAUUCCGAUUCCAUAGUCUAAAAUAGGUGAACCAAACAUGCCCUAAGAUCAAACG